UGGGGAAUAUUGGACAAUGGGCGAAAGCCUGAUCCAGCCAUGCCGCGUGUGUGAAGAAGGCCUUUUGGUUGUAAAGCACUUUAAGCGAGGAGGAGGCUACUAGUACUAAUACUACUGGAUAGUGGACGUUACUCGCAGAAUAAGCACCGGCUAACUCUGUGCCAGCAGCCGCGGUAAUACAGAGGGUGCGAGCGUUAAUCGGAUUUACUGGGCGUAAAGCGUGCGUAGGCGGCUGAUUAAGUCGGAUGUGAAAUCCCUGAGCUUAACUUAGGAAUUGCAUUCGAUAAUGGUCAGCUAGAGUAUGGGAGAGGAUGGUAGAAUUCCAGGUGUAGCGGUGAAAUGCGUAGAGAUCUGGAGGAAUACCGAUGGCGAAGGCAGCCAUCUGGCCUAAUACUGACGCUGAGGUACGAAAGCAUGGGGAGCAAACAGG
This 430-nucleotide ribosomal RNA is filed under the name Pseudomonadota bacterium. RNAcentral describes it as "Proteobacteria bacterium partial 16S ribosomal RNA". It matches the Rfam family "Bacterial small subunit ribosomal RNA", at positions 355 to 776 of the family's 1533-position model. The record is from RNAcentral. Lineage: Bacteria; Pseudomonadati; Pseudomonadota.